Molecule: ribosomal RNA, 212 nt
Filed under: uncultured bacterium
Lineage: Bacteria
Description: partial 16S ribosomal RNA
Rfam family: Bacterial small subunit ribosomal RNA
Source: RNAcentral
GCGACGAUGAUGACGGUAGCGGGAGAAGAAGCCCCGGCUAACUCCGUGCCAGCAGCCGCGGUAAUACGGAGGGGGCUAGCGUUGUUCGGAAUUACUGGGCGUAAAGCGCACGUAGGCGGCGCCGCAAGUCAGGGGUGAAAUCCCGGGGCUCAACCCCGGAACUGCCCUUGAAACUGCAGUGCUAGAAUCCUGGAGAGGCGAGUGGAAUUCCG